UUUCCGUAGGUGAACCUGCGGAAGGAUCAUUACAGAGUUCAUGCCCUCACGGGUAGAUCUCCCACCCUUGAAUAUUUAUACCUUAGUUGCUUGGCAGGCCGUGGAAACACCAUGGGCUCCGGCUUAUGCGUGCCUGCCAGAGGAAACAAACUCUGUUUUUAGUGAUGUCUGAGUACUAUAUAAUAGUUAAAACUUUCAACAACGGAUCUCUUGGUUCUG
This 219-nucleotide unclassified non-coding RNA is filed under the name plant metagenome. RNAcentral's name for it is "partial contains small subunit ribosomal RNA, internal transcribed spacer 1, and 5.8S ribosomal RNA". The record is from RNAcentral.